GACGAACGCUGGCGGCGUGCUUAACACAUGCAAGUCGAACGGAAAGGCCCUGCUUUUGUGGGGUGCUCGAGUGGCGAACGGGUGAGUAACACGUGAGUAACCUGCCCUUGACUUUGGGAUAACUUCAGGAAACUGGGGCUAAUACCGGAUAGGAGCUCCUGCUGCAUGGUGGGGGUUGGAAAGUUUCGGCGGUUGGGGAUGGACUCGCGGCUUAUCAGCUUGUUGGUGGGGUAGUGGCUUACCAAGGCUUUGACGGGUAGCCGGCCUGAGAGGGUGACCGGCCACAUGGGGACUGAGGUACGGCCCAGACGCCUACGGGAGGCAGCGGUGGGGAAUAUUGCACAAUGGGCGGAAGCCUGAUGAAGCAACGCCGCGUGCGGGAUGACGGCCUUCGGGUUGUAAACCGCUUUCGCCUGUGACGAAGCGUGAGUGACGGUAAUGGGUAAAGAAGCACCGGCUAACUACGUG
This 468-nucleotide ribosomal RNA is filed under the name uncultured bacterium. RNAcentral describes it as "partial 16S ribosomal RNA". It matches the Rfam family "Bacterial small subunit ribosomal RNA", at positions 28 to 507 of the family's 1533-position model. The record is from RNAcentral.